UGGGGAAUUUUGGACAAUGGGGGAAACCCUGAUCCAGCCAUCCCGCGUGUGCGAUGAAGGCCUUCGGGUUGUAAAGCACUUUUGGCAGGAAAGAAACGUCGCGGGUUAAUACCCCGCGAAACUGACGGUACCUGCAGAAUAAGCACCGGCUAACUACGUGCCAGCAGCCGCGGUAAUACGUAGGGUGCAAGCGUUAAUCGGAAUUACUGGGCGUAAAGCGUGCGCAGGCGGUUCGGAAAGAAAGAUGUGAAAUCCCAGAGCUUAACUUUGGAACUGCAUUUUUUAACUACCGGGCUAGAGUGUGUCAGAGGGAGGUGGAAUUCCGCGUGUAGCAGUGAAAUGCGUAGAUAUGCGGAGGAACACCGAUGGCGAAGGCAGCCUCCUGGGAUAACACUGACGCUCAUGCACGAAAGCGUGGGGAGCAAACAGGAUUAGAUACCCUGGUAGUCCACGCCCUAAACGAUGUCAACUAGCUGUUGGGGGCCUUUCGGGCCUUGGUAGCGCAGCUAACGCGUGAAGUUUGACCGCCUGGGGAGUACGGUCGCAAGAUUUAAAAACUCAAAAUGAAUUGACGGGGGUCAUAGCUGUUUUU
Molecule: ribosomal RNA, 592 nt
Filed under: uncultured bacterium
Lineage: Bacteria
Description: partial 16S ribosomal RNA
Rfam family: Bacterial small subunit ribosomal RNA
Source: RNAcentral